Syngnathoides biaculeatus (alligator pipefish) is the source of this 667-nucleotide long non-coding RNA. RefSeq lists it as uncharacterized. The transcript is spliced from 6 exons. NCBI's taxonomy places the organism in Eukaryota, Metazoa, Chordata, Actinopteri, Syngnathiformes, Syngnathidae. The record is from RefSeq and is a predicted model, not a curated record.
CGAGAAAGCAGCCUGGAAGUAAACCAUUAAAAGAAUGCUCAGGCCCAAUUUUACAUCAUAACAAAGUUCAUGAUGCUUUAAUUAUUCGUUUAGCUGGCUUUUUGAAGGCAUAACCGAGAGGGCUUAUCAGAAGCGGCUUGCCAUUUUUCCGAACAAGAAGACUGAAGAAGAAAGGGACGAGAAGAGCAAAAGAGAAGCUCUCCCGUUACCACAAAAGUGUCUGGGUGGGCUUCAAAACACCAAAAUGGGCUAUUGACGGAGAGCAAAAGAAAAGCUACCCCGUUACCUUAAAAGUGUCCGGGUGGACUUCAAAACCCCAAGAGAGGCUACAGAAGGCCCCCACAUUGACAAGAAAUGCCCAUCACUGGAAACUUCUCCAUCAGUGGAGAAACUAAUGUGUGGUGACCAAAAUGAAGAUGAGGAGGACUGUUGGUCAUCAGACCCGACUACCUGCAGUACCAUCGCUGUCUGUUCAUCUCUCGCCACGCUUCAGGACGUGUCGGUCGGAGACAUCGUGACGAUCGGGCAGCGCCGACCGCUCAGCAAGACUGUGAGGUUCAACGUUCUCAAGGUGACAAAGGCGGCUGGAGCCAAGAAGCGGUUCCAAAAGUUUUAGCUGUGCCAGAAGAAACAAGUUGCCCUUAAAUAAAGAAACUUGUUGAAAUAA